AAGAUACUAGUAUAAAGCCCAUUACACUACCUUGUCGAGGCAGAAAUGUGGGUUAAAUCCCCGCGUAUCUUA
RNAcentral lists this transfer RNA (72 nucleotides) under Scorpaena neglecta. Its description in RNAcentral is "tRNA-Asp". It matches the Rfam family "tRNA". Rfam says of the family: Transfer RNA (tRNA) molecules are approximately 80 nucleotides in length. Their secondary structure includes four short double-helical elements and three loops (D, anti-codon, and T loops). Further hydrogen bonds mediate the characteristic L-shaped molecular structure. tRNAs have two regions of fundamental functional importance: the anti-codon, which is responsible for specific mRNA codon recognition, and the 3' end, to which the tRNAs corresponding amino acid is attached (by aminoacyl-tRNA synthetases). tRNAs cope with the degeneracy of the genetic code in two manners: having more than one tRNA (with a specific anti-codon) for a particular amino acid; and 'wobble' base-pairing, i.e. permitting non-standard base-pairing at the 3rd anti-codon position. Lineage: Eukaryota; Metazoa; Chordata; Actinopteri; Perciformes; Scorpaenidae. The record is from RNAcentral.